This is a non-coding RNA of Potamilus streckersoni, 74 nucleotides long. The record is from the annotation of a GenBank genome assembly. NCBI's taxonomy places the organism in Eukaryota, Metazoa, Mollusca, Bivalvia, Unionida, Unionidae.
GACCACUCUGGUGGUCUAGUGGUUAGAGCAUUUGCCUUGGAUACAGGUUGCAGGUUCAAACCCUGGCCAAGUCA